Molecule: transfer RNA, 50 nt
Filed under: Carpoglyphus lactis (prune mite)
Lineage: Eukaryota; Metazoa; Arthropoda; Arachnida; Sarcoptiformes; Carpoglyphidae
Description: tRNA-Ser
Source: RNAcentral
GUCUUUUUAUUAUUAAUUUUGAAAAUUAGUUAAGGCUCUGCCAAAAGACU